AGAGUUUGAUCCUGGCUCAGAUUGAACGCUGGCGGUAUGCUUAACACAUGCAAGUCGAACGGUAACAGCAAGAGCUUGCUCUUGGCUGACGAGUGGCGGACGGGUGAGUAACGCGUGGGAAUCUGCCUACUAGCGGGGGAUAGCCCGGAGAAAUCCGGAUUAAUACCGCAUAAGCCCUACGGGGGAAAGCUGGGGACCUUCGGGCCUGGCACUAGUAGAUGAGCCCGCGUUAGAUUAGCUUGUUGGUAGGGUAAUGGCCUACCAAGGCAACGAUCUAUAGCUGGUCUGAGAGGACGAUCAGCCACACUGGGACUGAGACACGGCCCAGACUCCUACGGGAGGCAGCAGUGGGGAAUAUUGCACAAUGGGCGCAAGCCUGAUGCAGCAAUACCGCGUGUGUGAAGAAGGCCUGCGGGUUGUAAAGCACUUUCAAUUGUGAAGAAAUGCUCUUGGUUAAUAACCUUGAGUCUUGACAUUAGCAAUACAAGAAGCACCGCUAACU
Molecule: ribosomal RNA, 502 nt
Filed under: uncultured bacterium
Lineage: Bacteria
Description: bacterial SSU rRNA
Rfam family: Bacterial small subunit ribosomal RNA
Source: RNAcentral